RNAcentral lists this ribosomal RNA (253 nucleotides) under uncultured bacterium. RNAcentral's name for it is "partial 16S ribosomal RNA". It matches the Rfam family "Bacterial small subunit ribosomal RNA", at positions 524 to 776 of the family's 1533-position model. The record is from RNAcentral.
CACGUAGGCACCAAGCGUUGUCCGGAUUUAUUGGGCGUAAAGAGCUCGUAGGCGGCUCGUUGCGUCGGCUGUGAAAACCCGCAGCUCAACUGUGGGCUUGCAGCCGAUACGGGCGGGCUGGAGUUCGGUAGGGGAGACUGGAAUUCCUGGUGUAGCGGUGAAAUGCGCAGAUAUCAGGAGGAACACCGGUGGCGAAGGCGGGUCUCUGGGCCGAUACUGACGCUGAGGAGCGAAAGCGUGGGGAGCGAACAGG